AGAGCGAACGCUGGCGGCAGGCCUAACACAUGCAAGUCGAACGGACCCUUCGGGGUUAGUGGCGGACGGGUGAGUAACACGUGGGAACGUGCCUUUUGGUUCGGAAUAGCUCCUGGAAACGGGUGGUAAUGCCGAAUGUGCCCUUCGGGGGAAAGAUUUAUCGCCAUUAGAGCGGCCCGCGUCUGAUUAGCUAGUUGGUGAGGUAAUGGCUCACCAAGGCGACGAUCAGUAGCUGGUCUGAGAGGAUGACCAGCCACAUUGGGACUGAGACACGGCCCAAACUCCUACGGGAGGCAGCAGUGGGGAAUCUUGCGCAAUGGGCGAAAGCCUGACGCAGCCAUGCCGCGUGAAUGAUGAAGGUCUUAGGAUUGUAAAAUUCUUUCACCGGGGACAUAAUGACGGUACCCGGAAGAAGAAGCCCCGGACUAACUUCGCGCCAGCAGCCGC
RNAcentral lists this ribosomal RNA (447 nucleotides) under uncultured soil bacterium. Its description in RNAcentral is "bacterial SSU rRNA". It matches the Rfam family "Bacterial small subunit ribosomal RNA", at positions 26 to 518 of the family's 1533-position model. The record is from RNAcentral.